This 252-nucleotide ribosomal RNA is filed under the name uncultured bacterium. Its description in RNAcentral is "partial 16S ribosomal RNA". It matches the Rfam family "Bacterial small subunit ribosomal RNA", at positions 524 to 776 of the family's 1533-position model. The record is from RNAcentral.
UACGGAGGAUGCGAGCGUUAUCCGGAUUUAUUGGGUUUAAAGGGUGCGUAGGCGGAUCGUUAAGUCAGUGGUCAAAUUGAGGGGCUCAACCCCUUCCCGCCAUUGAAACUGGCGAUCUUGAGUGGAAGAGAAGUAUGCGGAAUGCGUGGUGUAGCGGUGAAAUGCAUAGAUAUCACGCAGAACCCCGAUUGCGAAGGCAGCAUGCCGGCUUCCGACUGACGCUGAAGCAUGAAAGCGUGGGGAUCGAACAGG